UGGGGAAUAUUGCGCAAUGGGCGGAAGCCUGACGCAGCGACGCCGCGUGAGGGAUGACGGCCUUCGGGUUGUAAACCUCUUUCAGCAGGGACGAAGCGAAAGUGACGGUACCUGCAGAAGAAGCACCGGCCAACUACGUGCCAGCAGCCGCGGUAAUACGUAGGGUGCAAGCGUUGUCCGGAAUUAUUGGGCGUAAAGAGCUCGUAGGCGGUUUGUCGCGUCGGCUGUGAAAGCCCGGAGCUCAACUCCGGGUCUGCAGUCGAUACGGGCAGACUUGAGUGUUGCAGGGGAGACUGGAAUUCCUGGUGUAGCGGUGAAAUGCGCAGAUAUCAGGAGGAACACCGGUGGCGAAGGCGGGUCUCUGGGCAACAACUGACGCUGAGGAGCGAAAGCGUGGGGAGCGAACAGG
This 409-nucleotide ribosomal RNA is filed under the name uncultured bacterium. RNAcentral describes it as "bacterial SSU rRNA". It matches the Rfam family "Bacterial small subunit ribosomal RNA", at positions 355 to 776 of the family's 1533-position model. The record is from RNAcentral.